AAGUCGUAACAAGGUUUCCGUAGGUGAACCUGCGGAAGGAUCAUUAAUGAUAAUAUGAUAUGAGAGAUUGUGAAUCGUGUUUUGCAGGGGGUGAUUGAUUGAUUACUGGGGUGAUUGGAUGGAUCGCUGCAGGGGGUGAUUGAUUGAUUACUGGGGCAAUACACAAGGAACAAGAGCAAUUAUGGAGGAGAAAGUAGAGUGCAAGUGCAGGGGUGGAGUUUGGAAGCAGGGGUGCAUUCAUGCACAUAAUGCAUACACACGACACAACAAAGUACAAGGCACAAACAUAACAACAACAAGAAUACAACUUUUAACAAUGGAUCUCUAGGCUCUU
RNAcentral lists this unclassified non-coding RNA (334 nucleotides) under fungal sp. Its description in RNAcentral is "partial internal transcribed spacer region". The stretch from base 1 to 46 matches the Rfam family "Eukaryotic small subunit ribosomal RNA", at positions 1786 to 1831 of the family's 1831-position model. Lineage: Eukaryota; Fungi. The record is from RNAcentral.